UAUGGAAUCUUCCGCAAUGUGCGAAAGCCUGACGGAGCAACGCCGCGUGAGUGAUGAAGGUCUUCGGAUCGUAAAACUCUGUUAUUAGGGAAGAACAAAUGUGUAAGUAACUAUGCACGUCUUGACGGUACCUAAUCAGAAAGCCACGGCUAACUACGUGCCAGCAGCCGCGGUAAUACGUAGGUGGCAAGCGUUAUCCGGAAUUAUUGGGCGUAAAGCGCGCGCAGGCGGUUUUUUAAGUCUGAUGUGAAAGCCCACGGCUCAACCGUGGAGGGUCAUUGGAAACUGGAAGACUAGAGUGCAGAAGGGGAAAGUGGAAUUCCAUGUGUAGCGGUGAAAUGCGCAGAGAUAUGGAGGAACACAAGUGGCGAAGGAGACUUUCUGGUCUGUAACUGACGCUGAUAUGCGAAAGCGUGGGGAUCAAACAGG
This 429-nucleotide ribosomal RNA is filed under the name Actinomycetes bacterium. RNAcentral describes it as "Actinobacteria bacterium partial 16S ribosomal RNA". It matches the Rfam family "Bacterial small subunit ribosomal RNA", at positions 355 to 776 of the family's 1533-position model. Lineage: Bacteria; Bacillati; Actinomycetota; Actinomycetes. The record is from RNAcentral.